UUUAUAGUAACAACUUCAUUGCAGGAAUGGAAGAUGGUUUGUCUUGUUGUAGCAGAUCAGCACCGACAGUGAGGUAUUUACAGAAUGAAUGACUGUAACAUGUGAUUUCUUGAUUAAUCUGGAAAAGUGCAAGUUCACAUUCUGGUUGGAUCAGAGUUGCUCAGGGAGAGACAGCAAUAUGGAACAUAGUGACAACAUGCUAGCACACAGACAGAAACAUUUUGGUUGACAGUUGAUUCAAGGUUAUACUGUGGGUAAGUUAGAUAUUUUGUUUUGAAUACAGGCUGAUUCGGACCAUGGCUGAUUCGGACCAAAUUUACUUUGCUUAUUUGGCCCAAAUUGUUUUAGUUUUCCUGACACUAUUGUCAUGAGUAAAAGUAAUACUUAUGAGUAUUAAGUUUAAUGUCUGAUGCAAAGAACAAUUAAAGUCCUUAUCUAAAUGCAUAAAUGAUGCAUUUUAGUUUGUCAAAACUUCUUACCUGUUUGUAUGGUGUAUAUUUUAUGUCCUUACUUCAAGUUAAAAAUCUAUAUAAGCUAUAAUCAACAUUAUUUUCUGAAAAUUGCUGAACCAUCCAAAAUUUAUGGUCAUUAUUGACUGUUAAAUAAAAGUUUGUGGUCUGAAUCAGCCGAAAUAUAUGGUCAUUAUCUACUUUUAUUCAAAGUAUGUGGUCCGAAUCAGCCAAAACAUUUGGUCCGAAUCAGCCAUGGUCCGAAUCAGCCACGGUCCGAAUCAGCCUGUUUCCUUUGUUUUUAUUACUGUUAACACA
Molecule: long non-coding RNA, 767 nt
Organism: Mercenaria mercenaria
Lineage: Eukaryota; Metazoa; Mollusca; Bivalvia; Venerida; Veneridae
Exons: 3
Source: RefSeq, a predicted model, not a curated record